CUUGGUUGGGUUGUUGCUGGCUUUUCGGAGCAUGUGCACACCUAGCACCAUUUUUACCACCUGUGCACAUUUUGUAGAUUUGAAACACCUCUUGAGGAAACUCAGUUUGAGGAAUGCUUAUGGGCGCAAGCUUUUAGGCUUUCCUUGCGUUUCAAGUCUAUGUUUUUAUAUACCCCAUAAGAAUGUAAUAGAAUGUCAUUAAUGGGCUUAUGCCUUUAAAUUAAUACAACUUUCAACAACGGAUCUCUUGGCUCUCGCAUCGAUGAAGAACGCAGCGAAAUGCGAUAAGUAAUGUGAAUUGCAGAAUUCAGUGAAUCAUCGAAUCUUUGAACGCACCUUGCGCUCCUUGGUAUUCCGAGGAGCAUGCCUGUUUGAGUGUCAUUAAAUUCUCAACCUUUUCAGCUUUUACAAGUUGGAUUGGCUUGGAUGUGGAGGUUUUUGCAGGCUUCUCAGAAGUCAGCUCCUCUUAAAUGCAUUAGCGGAACCUUUGUGGACCAGCUUUGGUGUGAUAAUUAUCUACGCCAAUGGUUGUGAAGCAGCUAUUAUAUGGGGUUCAGCUUCUAACAGUCCA
Molecule: ribosomal RNA, 571 nt
Filed under: Collybia nuda
Lineage: Eukaryota; Fungi; Basidiomycota; Agaricomycetes; Agaricales; Clitocybaceae
Description: eukaryotic LSU rRNA
Rfam family: 5.8S ribosomal RNA (bases 228-381)
Source: RNAcentral